RNAcentral lists this ribosomal RNA (253 nucleotides) under uncultured bacterium. RNAcentral describes it as "partial 16S ribosomal RNA". It matches the Rfam family "Bacterial small subunit ribosomal RNA", at positions 524 to 776 of the family's 1533-position model. The record is from RNAcentral.
UACGAGGGGGGCAAGCGUUACUCGGAAUUAUUGGGCGUAAAGCGUGCGCAGGCAGCUCAGUAAGUUAAACGUAAAAUACUUUAGCUCAACUAAAGAAUAGCUUUUAAUACUACCGAGCUUGAGGCUUAGAGAGGAUAAAGAAAUUUUUGAUGUAGGGGUGAAAUCCAUAGAUAUCAAAAGGAACACCAAAAGCGAAGGCAUUUGUCUGGAUAAGAACUGACGCUGUCGCACGAAAGCAUGGGUAGCAAACAGG